CCAAGGAGUCUAACAUGUGCGCAAGUCAUUGGGUAUAUUUAUACAAAUUUUAAACCCAAAGGCAUAAUUAACUUAACUUAUAUAAUGGGAUUAUAUAUAUAAAUAUUAUUAUUUAUAUAUUCCAUCCCGGGGCGUUCUAUAUAGUUAUGCAUUUUAAUAUAUUUUUAAUAUAUUAUAUAUGCCUCUAACUGGAGCGUACCUUGAGCAUAUAUGUUGUGACCCGAAAGAUGGUGAACUAUACCUGAUCAGGUUGAAGUCAGGGGAAACCCUGAUGGAAGACCGAAACAGUUCUGACGUGCAAAUCGAUUGUCAGAAUUGGGUAUAGGGGCGAAAGACCGAUCGAACUAUCUAGUAGCUGGUUCCCUCCGAAGUUUCCCUCAGGAUAGCUGGUGCAAUUAGAUAUUAUUUAAAAUAAUCUUAUCUGGUAAAGCGAAUGAUUAGAGGCCUUAGGGCCGAAACGACCUUAACCUAUUCUCAAACUUUAAAUGGGUAAGAACCUAACCUUUCUUGAUAUGAAGGUAUAUAGGUUAUGAUAUAUUGUGCCCAGUGGGCCACUUUUGGU
Molecule: ribosomal RNA, 562 nt
Filed under: Mallophora sp. BYU_ACDI030
Lineage: Eukaryota; Metazoa; Arthropoda; Insecta; Diptera; Asilidae
Description: eukaryotic LSU rRNA
Rfam family: Eukaryotic large subunit ribosomal RNA
Source: RNAcentral